GACGAACGCUGGCGGCGUGCCUAAUACAUGCAAGUAGAACGCUGAAACUUGGUGCUUGCACCGAGCGGAUGAGUUGCGAACGGGUGAGCAACGCGUAGGUAACCUGCCUGGUAGCGGGGGAUAACUAUUGGAAACGAUAGCUAAUACCGCAUAAGAGUAGAUGUUGCAUGACAUUUGCUUAAAAGGUGCAAUUGCACCACUACCAGAUGGACCUGCGUUGUAUUAGCUAGUUGGUGGGGUAACGGCUCACCAAGGCGACGAUACAUAGCCGACCUGAGAGGGUGAUCGGCCACACUGGGACUGAGACACGGCCCAGACUCCUACGGGAGGCAGCAGUAGGGAAUCUUCGGCAAUGGACGGAAGUCUGACCGAGCAACGCCGCGUGAGUGAAGAAGGGUUUCGGAUCGUAAAGCUCUGUUGUAAGAGAAGAACGAGUGUGAGAGUGGAAAGUUCACACUGUGACGGUAUCUGACCAGAAAGGGACGGCUAACUACGUG
Molecule: ribosomal RNA, 497 nt
Filed under: uncultured bacterium
Lineage: Bacteria
Description: partial 16S ribosomal RNA
Rfam family: Bacterial small subunit ribosomal RNA
Source: RNAcentral